CCAGCCUGGGCGACAGAGUGAGACUCCAUAUCAAAAAAAAAAAAGUUUUUGGAGUAAGGAAUAAUAUUCUUUACAAUUUUAAUACCUGGAAAUGCCUUUUUAUUUACGAUAUUUCUUUAGACUGUGAACCUCUCAUAGGAAAGACUCUUCCAUAUUUGUUUUUAUUUACUUAAUGCCCAGCACAUGGUGUUACUCUUACAUGUUUCUGAAAUGCAUGUCAUUGUGGAUUUUGUGUAAUGAAAUGCAUAUGGUUAUUUUAACUGAUCACUCAAGUUGAUUAGACUGCCACAUCCCACGCAAAAAGAGGGUGCUCAGAAAGCCAGUGAUUGGAUAAUAAUUUGAGAAUACUCAAGUUUCUAGUAGUCCUAAUCGGUUGAACCUAAAAAUGCCAUUAACCCUUUCUCAAAGAAGCAGAUUGGAGGUGAGUAGCAGUUGUGUGGCUUUUUGGUAUGCAGCUGUUCACUUUCAAAACUUAAUUUAAAACAAUAAAAAAUAGACCUCGAAAUCAUUUUGUUUCCCUAUUUAUUUAAUGUGAUUUAUUCUAAAUGUGUUUCAUAUCACCAUAAUGUAUCGGAGCUCAACCACCACCUGUUAUUUUGUAGGGGAAAUAAACAAGACCUCUCUCAUCAGAUGAGUUAAUUACACUGACAUAUUCACUCCUCCCCAGAGAUACCAUAAACUAAAAUGCUGCAAAGCUUUAAUUCAAACAAGCAGGCUGGAAACAAGAGCUAUUGCAGUGGUAUAAUUUUCUUUGGGAGAAUCAAAAGCUCAACACAGACUUGAACUUCAGGGGCAAAAUAGCUGGAGUUGAUCAAAUGGAGGCUUGUCUAGGGUCGCAUAAUAAAUCUGUAGGUGAGUUGAGCUUGAACCCAUUUCUCAAUAUUAUGGCACUAUUUUCCAACCUUUGUGCUUCUGAGCAUCAUGUGGUCAUUUUUAAAACUUGUUUCAUCCCGUCAUUUCUCCCUCCUCUCAGGUAUUUGUCUGGGGCUGGCUGUGCACCCAGAAGGCCAUUCGUUCCAUGAAGAACAUGACAGAGGUACCUGGUCCUACCUGGAUUCUUGGGCAUGCGGGCAGCAGCAGCAGCAGCAGCCACAGUGAACUUCAUCCUAAGGAAAUUAAGCACACGUUGCGUGAGGCUGCUGUGGGGGUGCCAGGUGCUGAGGUUUCUGUAGUGGAUAAAACACAAAAAUACCAGCCCUCAUGGUGAAAAUGGAAUGACAAUAAACAAGAUAAAUUAGAUCUAUGCAACAAAACCAAGCCUUUGUGCACAUCUGUGGUUGUGACCAGUUGGAGAGACAUUAGGAGAUGAGAUACUAUGUUCACUCCUCACAGCUGUACCAGGGACCUGAGAUAUUCCGUCACUAUUCUAUGAGAUUUUGGAGAUCCCACCAGUGGUUUUCCGGUGCCAGGGUAUGAGAAGAUAGUCUCCAUGUCCAAACUCACAAUUUCAGAACAAAUUUCAUCAAGAUAAAGGCCUGGGCUGGUGAAUGGUUCCUGCUUUCACUAUUCCAGAUGUCCAGCUCUGUACCUUGCUGCUCUCCUUAAAGCCUGCCUCCCUCUAGAUGGUCUGGCUUGAUGAUAUCCAACCUGACGUGGCCUGAAGAGACAGACAGUGGCUCUUGCUAGCUAAUUAUUGUCAGAUGGAUCGGCAGCCGACCAACGCUUCUGAAACUAUUGUUUUUGGCAAAUGUUCCUCAACAUUUUCCUGGGAGCUAUGGUGCAUUACUCACGAGUGACAGAACCAACGAGCUUCAUCUCCCAAGAGGCUGGUGCAUCUGUUUAAAGGAGCAGGCACUAGGCAGAGCAGCCCCCACCCCACCCUCCAUGGCAGAGUGCAGUGGGGGAAGAAGUUUUCAUAGAAAUGCUUUCUAUAAAGCAUUUUCAUAGAGAAAGCAGGUUCAUAUAGAAAGCACUGGCUGCUGGUUGGAGUGGAGAGAUUGAAGACCCUCAUCUAGGAUCAAGCAACCCCCAGAAAACAAUUUUAAACAUGUCCAUUCAGACAAAAGGAGUCCAAAACCAUAAGAUCCUCUCAGCAUCCUGAACUAAUGUCCAGCUGUUAUCUCGAUGGGGAAACUGAGGCACAGAGAGGUUAGAGAUAUGCCUGAAGCCACACAGCUUGCAAGUGGUGGAUCUGGGAUUUGAACUUGUCGAUCUGGCUGCAGAGCUGAGCUCUUGGAGACUAGGUUUUACUGCCUAGUAGCAUGUAAGCCUGGAACUGCCGGCAGUCAUUUUGUAAGUUUGCCGAGUGAACCUCAAUGAGCAUGAAGCAGAGAGGAAAGCAGUACUAAGAGAUGCAAAAGAGUCUGUGUUCCAGCAAUGGGAUCUGAAGUCCUGGAUCAAACCUUACCUGGAGACAAGAUUUACCCAUCAGACAUGCCAGUUAUAAGACCCAAAUUUACCCUUUUUGGGGGAUUGAGUUUGAAUGAGUAUUUUUGUUUGUUUGUUUUGGCAUCAGAAAGACUCCUGAUUAAUACACAGUGUGACGCUGACCAAGAUGCUUCCUUUCUCUAGGACUCAAUUUUCUUAUCUGUAAAGUAAAGGGUUCAUCAACAUUCUUUGGUUGAAUCUUACCUGAAACAUUUUGUGAGCCUUCACCAAUCUCAUCUAAGCCUUUGUUUCCAUAGAACAAAGCCCUUUAAGAAAGGAGGGGAAAGUGUCAUGGAGUCUUACUGUCCUGAGUGCAAAUAUGGUCUCUGUAUUGUCCUUAUCUGUUCAUUUUCUGCCUCUCAGUACUAGAAUGAAAACUCUGGAAGAAGAAG
RNAcentral lists this long non-coding RNA (2759 nucleotides) under Homo sapiens (human). RNAcentral's name for it is "HSALNT0401832". Lineage: Eukaryota; Metazoa; Chordata; Mammalia; Primates; Hominidae. The record is from RNAcentral.